AACGAACGUUAGCGGCGCGCCUAAGACAUGCAAGUCGAGCGAGAAAGGGAUUCGUCCCCGGUAAAGCGGCGCACGGGUGAGUAACACGUAGGUAAUCAACCCUCGAGUGGUGGACAACUCUCCGAAAGGAGAGCUAAUACAGCAUGACGUGGCGGUCUUCCGGGAUCGUUUCCAAAGCGGGCCUCCUCAUGAAAGCUCGCGCUCGAGGAUGAGCCUGCGGCCCAUCAGCAAGUUGGAGGGGUAACGGCCCACCAAGGCAUAGACGGGUAGCUGGGCUUGGAGGAUGAACAGCCACACUGGAACUGGGACACGGUCCAGACUCCUACGGGAGGCAGCAGUCGGGAAUCUUCCGCAAUGGGCGAAAGCCUGACGGAGCGACGCCGCGUGAGUGAUGAAGGCCUUCGGGUUGUAAAGCUCUGUGGGGAGGGAAGAAUAAGUUCAAGCGAAUACCUUGAAUGAUGACGGUACCUCCUUAGCAAGCACCGGCUAACUCUGUGCCAGCCGCCGCCGUAA
Molecule: ribosomal RNA, 513 nt
Filed under: uncultured bacterium
Lineage: Bacteria
Description: partial 16S ribosomal RNA
Rfam family: Bacterial small subunit ribosomal RNA
Source: RNAcentral